This 358-nucleotide ribosomal RNA is filed under the name uncultured Bacteroides sp. Its description in RNAcentral is "bacterial SSU rRNA". It matches the Rfam family "Bacterial small subunit ribosomal RNA", at positions 346 to 702 of the family's 1533-position model. The record is from RNAcentral. Lineage: Bacteria; Pseudomonadati; Bacteroidota; Bacteroidia; Bacteroidales; Bacteroidaceae.
AGGCAGCAGUGAGGAUAUUGGUCAAUGGACGAGAGUCUGAACCAGCCAAGUAGCGUGAAGGAUGAAGGUUCUAUGGAUUGUAAACUUCUUUUAUACGGGAAUAAACGRAUCCACGCGUGGAUUUYUGCAUGUACCGUAUGAAUAAGGAUCGGCUAACUCCGUGCCAGCAGCCGCGGUAAUACGGAGGAUCCGAGCGUUAUCCGGAUUUAUUGGGUUUAAAGGGAGCGUAGAUGGGUUGUUAAGUCAGUUGUGAAAGUUUGCGGCUCAACCGUAAAAUUGCAAUUGAUACUGGCAGUCUUGAGUACAGUUGAGGUAGGCGGAAUUCGUGGUGUAGCGGUGAAAUGCUUARAUAUCACGA